This is a non-coding RNA of Polyodon spathula (Mississippi paddlefish), 82 nucleotides long. The record is from the annotation of a RefSeq genome assembly. Lineage: Eukaryota; Metazoa; Chordata; Actinopteri; Acipenseriformes; Polyodontidae.
GUUGUCGUGGCCGAGUGGUUAAGGUGAUGGACUAGAAAUCCAUCGGGAUCUUCGCGCACAGGUUUGAAUCCUGCCGUCAACG